GUCACGAUAGCUCAGAUGGUAGAGCAGCGGCGUUUCUAGCCGAAGGUCGUGGGUUCGAAUCCCUCUCGUGCCA
RNAcentral lists this transfer RNA (73 nucleotides) under Cimex lectularius (bed bug). Its description in RNAcentral is "tRNA-Glu". It matches the Rfam family "tRNA". Rfam says of the family: Transfer RNA (tRNA) molecules are approximately 80 nucleotides in length. Their secondary structure includes four short double-helical elements and three loops (D, anti-codon, and T loops). Further hydrogen bonds mediate the characteristic L-shaped molecular structure. tRNAs have two regions of fundamental functional importance: the anti-codon, which is responsible for specific mRNA codon recognition, and the 3' end, to which the tRNAs corresponding amino acid is attached (by aminoacyl-tRNA synthetases). tRNAs cope with the degeneracy of the genetic code in two manners: having more than one tRNA (with a specific anti-codon) for a particular amino acid; and 'wobble' base-pairing, i.e. permitting non-standard base-pairing at the 3rd anti-codon position. Lineage: Eukaryota; Metazoa; Arthropoda; Insecta; Hemiptera; Cimicidae. The record is from Rfam by way of RNAcentral.